GACGAACCGUGCGAACGUUAUUCGGAAUCACUGGGCUUAGAGCGCGCAUGCGGUCGUCCGAGUCGCGUGUGAAAGCCCCCGGCUCAACUGGGGAGGGUCACGCGAUACUGGUCGACUCGAAGGCAGGAGAGGGUAGUGGAAUUCCCGGUGUAGUGGUGAAAUGCGUAGAUAUCGGGAGGAACACCAGUGGCGAAGGCGACUACCUGGCCUGUUCUUGACGCUGAGGCGCGAAAGCUAGGGGAGCAAACGGG
This 251-nucleotide ribosomal RNA is filed under the name uncultured bacterium. RNAcentral's name for it is "partial 16S ribosomal RNA". It matches the Rfam family "Bacterial small subunit ribosomal RNA", at positions 524 to 776 of the family's 1533-position model. The record is from RNAcentral.